AAUAUCUAAUAUAUAGUAAAAACCCAAGGAAAAACCCAUUAUUAGAUUACCAGAGCCUUUGGUUUUAUCUCAGGCUUUGGAGUUCACACAUGGCGUGUUCAUGGAAGUUCUUGUUUUUAUCAUUUGUUCUUUUUGUUGCUCUUAUUGUUCCUAAAGUCAAGGCUGAUGUUGGGUCUUCGUUGGAUGAUGAAGUUGAAGCUGUUAGAUCGGAUGUUCACCCCACUUUCUCAAGAAUUGGAACAUCUUAAGUCCAAGAUCCAAUCUUUAGAAUCAAACGUUGAGGAGACUGCGCGAGCACUGAAGGAAAGGAUGAGGUGAUCGCUGACAAAGAGAAAAUAAUAAAAGAAAAGUCGGAGAAGGUUAAGUCAUUGUCAUCUGAGUUGGCCUCUCUACAGAAAAAGGGAACACUAGAUGCUGAGGAGCAAGUUGGAAAAACUCGGGCACGAGCUGAUCAGCUUGAAAAGCAGCUUGAGACACUAAAAGCGGAAGUUGAAAUGAAGACUAAGGAGAAAAGAGACUUUGAAGCUCAUAAAGGUGACACCGAGAAAAGAGUAGCUGAGUUGAAUUUGAAGGUUGGCGAGCUUCAAAAGACCAUUGAUGAACAGGAGGAGAAACUGAAGAAAACUGAACGAGCUCUUCAACUUGUUGAGGAGGAAAUGAUUAGAGCAAGGUUUGAAGCAACAUCGGAGAUGAAGGAGCUCAUAGAGGUAGAUGUUGUAGCCCCUAUGUCUUAUCAUGUGAAUUCAGGAUUAUAAUACUAUUGAAGAUAGGAGGUUCCAUCUCAAUUUUGCAGCUAGCUGACUAACGCUGUGAUUCAUCUCAAUGUUGCUAUCCACCAUGGUAUCUUGAAGCAACGGUUGCCCCUGACAGCGUGCGAAACAAACUGAUGGGCAAGACACUCAAUAUCCAAAUGAAGAGAUCGUUUGCGAAAAAUCAAGAUACCAUUCCAGGAAAGUUGUUUAUUUUGUCACUCAGAAACAACGAGAGAAUAAGUGAUCCACCGUUGUCAACUACUGGUAUGGACUCUACAGAAAGCAGCAAACGCAAGCUUCACCAGGUUGCCGUGAAGGAAGGAAACCAUCAGGCCACAUCCAACAAAGACAAUAUUUCCUAUCAACAACACAGCAUGGGAUUGAGGUCCCUGAAAAAGGACUAAAAGGAGUGAGGUUUUGCAGUGUAAAUACUACUGUUUUGCAAUAUGGUUGGCUUUUUAAAUGCACUAGACGCUACUUUUGGUACUGCUUCCGCGCAUUUUCACUGCUUCUCGACUUUUGCUCUAUCCCUUUUCAAAAUAGUCAAAAACACUAUUAGUGCACUACCAGGUACUUUUUGCCAAACACUACUCAAAAUCAGCCUACAAAGAAAGCAGCAUACAGAACGCGAUGUCAUACUCAUGAUGUAGAUACUAGAGCAUGUAAAUAGUUUCCAUGUAAAUAAUGCAGCGAUCAGUGUAUGUAAACAGCAUAACACUUGCCAACCAUAAUAUCUAUAAAUCACGCUAUUUCAGCUUUUGUUCAUCAGUGUAGUGUUAUUUGUCAAGUUUCUGUGAUCCUUUAUGUUAAUCAAGAGGAAAGCAUUUCCUAAUCAAUUCAACCCGCCACUAUUAUUUGUGGUCCUUUAUGUUAAUCAACAGUAUAUGAGGAAAACCUUUUAUUUAUAGAA
This is a long non-coding RNA of Lycium ferocissimum, 1662 nucleotides long. RefSeq lists it as uncharacterized. Lineage: Eukaryota; Viridiplantae; Streptophyta; Magnoliopsida; Solanales; Solanaceae. The record is from RefSeq and is a predicted model, not a curated record. The transcript has 8 exons.